CCUACGGGUGGCAGCAGUAGGGAAUAUUGCUCAAUGGGGGAAACCCUGAAGCAGCAACGCCGCGUGGAGGAUGAAGGUUUUCGGAUUGUAAACUCCUUUUGUUAGAGAAGAUAAUGACGGUAUCUAACGAAUAAGCACCUGCUAACUCCGUGCCAGCAGCCGCGGUAAUACGGAGGGUGCAAGAGUUACUUGGAAUCACUGGGCGUAAAGAGCGCGUAGGCGGGAUAGCAAGUCAGAUGUGAAAUCCUAUGGCUUAACCAUAGAACUGCAUUUGAAACUGUUAUUCUAGAGUAUGGGAGAGGGAGGUGGGAUUCUUGGGGUAGGGGUAGAAUCCGUAGAGAUUAAGAGGAAUACUCAUUGCGAAGGCGACCUGAUAGAACAUAACUGACGGUGAUGGGCGAAAGCGUGGGGAGCAAACAGGAAUAG
This 426-nucleotide ribosomal RNA is filed under the name uncultured bacterium. RNAcentral describes it as "partial 16S ribosomal RNA". It matches the Rfam family "Bacterial small subunit ribosomal RNA", at positions 338 to 781 of the family's 1533-position model. The record is from RNAcentral.